Long non-coding RNA from Apis florea (little honeybee), 897 nucleotides. NCBI's taxonomy places the organism in Eukaryota, Metazoa, Arthropoda, Insecta, Hymenoptera, Apidae. The record is from RefSeq and is a predicted model, not a curated record.
UAAUUUUAACUAUUAAAUUUUGCCCAUCUAUGUUUAAAACGUGUAUUUUAGUCUAAUUUCAUGUUAAGUGCAUGCAUUGAAGCUAAAAGUGAUAAAAAAUAUACCGAAGUGAAAAAACAAGAUAGAUUUAUGUGUUAUUCGUUUUGAGCAACCAUAUUUUACUACUAUUUCAGCCAUUUCUAUUGGUAUGACGUAGUACAUUGUGCGAUUGACAGACUAUAUUUCUGUGCGUGACAAGAAUACUUCUGUAUUACAGGUUACGGCCGUUCAAUGAAAAUUCCUGGCGUAAUAAAACCGGACACGAAGUGACACGGAGCAGAUAAAACUUCAACGAAAUAAGCUAUGUAAAUAAACGCACGCGAAGGGGGAUAAAGAGGAGAAGAGUGGCCAGUGAAACGAGGUCAUUGGUAGCUUUUUCCCCCCCGUUCAUUUUUACGCUCGCCGCCAGCGGAGAAACCCCAGAUUCUUUGCAAUUUUUCAUCUUUAUCCAUUGACAUAGAAGCUCUACCUUAAUGAUGUUCCUGAUGAAUUUUCUUGGAAGCUCAUCCGAUGACUGCUCAUCUCAGAGUAACAGUAUCGUCAACCUACUGGUAUUUGGGCUUUUUCACUAUUAGUUUCAUUUAUUUUCUACAAACGCCUUACGGAUAGCCUCGUUACUUGGCCGGCCAACCCUCUUCUCGUCGCAGUGAAACACCAACGCAACGGUUAUAAUGGCGCUGCUCUUUUCUUGCUCUCGUGAAGGAGGAGGAAAAAAGAGUUGUUACCGCAUUUACAAUUCAACUUGUUAAGCGGUACAAAUGUAUCGAAAUGUUUUAAAUUUUUAAGUGGAAUAGGAGACGAUUAUUUAUUAAUCGAAGAAAAUAUAAUACGAGAAAAAAAGUUUGGAGUCGCUCGUUU